UGCUGCUUCGCUGACGAGUGGCGGACGGGUGAGUAAUGUCUGGGAAACUGCCUGAUGGAGGGGGAUAACUACUGGAAACGGUGGCUAAUACCGCAUAACGUCGCAAGACCAAAGAGGGGGACCUUCGGGCCUCUUGCCAUCAGAUGUGCCCAGAUGGGAUUAGCUAGUUGGUGAGGUAACGGCUCACCAAGGCGACGAUCCCUAGCUGGUCUGAGAGGAUGACCAGCCACACUGGAACUGAGACACGGUCCAGACUCCUACGGGAGGCAGCAGUGGGGAAUAUUGCACAAUGGGCGCAAGCCUGAUGCAGCCAUGCCGCGUGUAUGAAGAAGGCCUUCGGGUUGUAAAGUACUUUCAGCGGGGAGGAAGGUGUUGUGGUUAAUAACCGCAGCAAUUGACGUUACCCGCAGAAGAAGCACCGGCUAACUCCGUGCCAGCAGCCGCGGUAAUACGGAGGGUGCAAGCGUUAAUCGGAAUUACUGGGCGUAAAGCGCACGCAGGCGGUCUGUCAAGUCGGAUGUGAAAUCCCCGGGCUCAACCUGGGAACUGCAUUCGAAACUGGCAGGCUUGAGUCUUGU
RNAcentral lists this ribosomal RNA (578 nucleotides) under uncultured bacterium. RNAcentral describes it as "bacterial SSU rRNA". It matches the Rfam family "Bacterial small subunit ribosomal RNA", at positions 78 to 652 of the family's 1533-position model. The record is from RNAcentral.